CUCUGCCAAGGUCUCUAUCGUCUGGAGCAUCCUGGCGUCGCUCGCGUCUUCAGUGGAGUUCGGGUAUCUCCGUCACAGUGGCAUGCUCGUCUUGGUCACCCGGCCACACCUAUUGUCCGGCAUGUUUUGCGUCGUCAUGAGCUUCCUAGUGUGUCUAGUAAUAAAGAUGUAGCAGUGUGUGAUGCUUGUCAGCAGGGGAAGAGUCAUCAACUUCCUUUUUCAGAGUCCAGUCGUGAGGUGAAACAUCCUUUAGAACUUGUGUUUUCAGAUGUAUGGGGUCCUGCUCAGACUUCUGUUAGUGGUCAUAAUUAUUAUAUCAGUUUUGUUGAUGCUUAC
This 336-nucleotide ribosomal RNA is filed under the name Triticum aestivum (bread wheat). RNAcentral's name for it is "partial small subunit ribosomal RNA". The record is from RNAcentral. Lineage: Eukaryota; Viridiplantae; Streptophyta; Magnoliopsida; Poales; Poaceae.